AUGCGCACACGAGGAGCGACGGCGACCGCGUCUGCCGCCAACACCGAGCUCUUCGUUCUUUCAAGCCCUAUGUUGCUUACUCAAAUGUUUGUGGCGAUUGUAUCCUUGUGCCAUGAAUAUUUGUACUUAGCAGAUCAAUAUAAACAUAUUGGCUAUCUAUUUACCAAUUCAGAAUUUAAAGCACUUUAUUUUAUGGCCUUGAGUAAAAGUUCAGUCGUCGUUGGCUGGAAGACAUCUUCAAUACGCCGUCAACACGAGCUUCCCAAGGUAAUGAUCUAAGAGGAAGUGAGUUGGAGAUGAGAUGGGGACAGAAGAUCCUGCAGCGAUGUUGUUUCUUUGUUCUCCUGCUCAAGCUCAGGUGGAUGAGCCACGUCCUGUGUUAUUCCCCUUCGUUUCUGAAGCUCCCAGGAUUUAAUAAUGAGUUGUCUUGGGCUUCAUUGGACAAAUGAUCUACCUCGAGCAAUGAUACAGGUUGGCGUUGAAGCCUGAUGGCGUUUUUCUUGCAGCAAAUCUUGGCAGGAAGACUCUAAAGUGAUAAUCUUAAAUUUGCCAUUUACCGACAUUUUCCAGUUUCUUGUUUGACUUGCCUUUUCUUGGAUGCGAUGAUAAGGGAACUAAGAAUUGUGUGCACUAUUGCUCAAAUGGAACAUAAGGGAGGUAUCAGUCCUCAAAUGUUGCCUCUAGAACAACUCAGGUGGAUGAGCCACGUCCUGUGUUAUUCCCCUUCGUUUCUGAAGCUCCCAGGAUUUAAUAAUGAGUUGUCUUGGGCUUCAUUGGACAAAUGAUCUACCUCGAGCAAUGAUACAG
Molecule: ribosomal RNA, 807 nt
Filed under: Triticum aestivum (bread wheat)
Lineage: Eukaryota; Viridiplantae; Streptophyta; Magnoliopsida; Poales; Poaceae
Description: partial small subunit ribosomal RNA
Source: RNAcentral